AUAAUAUCACCAAACAUCGAGAAUCUCUUCCAAGGUCGUGAUACCAAACGCGUUGUAUCUCACCAUCUAUUCGAGGAAGAACAUGUCGUUCUUGAGGGUCUUCAUCUCGGUUGCGUCGUCUUGAAGGUUGUGACAAUCGCAAUGUCUCAUCCGGUAAGUCAGCAAACGAAGGUUCUUGAGUUGAAUCCGCUGGUUGUUGGCUCUCCAUCUAAUUAGCGUCACAAAAUGCAAAGAAAUUACAAACAAGGAUAGGAAAUUGAAUGUUAUCUUGCCUCAAUCUUGUCUCUUUUAUAAGAGAGGUUUUCAUCUUGGUUUUGAUGGAUGUCGUUGAUGAAAAACUUUGACUUUAGCUGAU
Molecule: long non-coding RNA, 355 nt
Filed under: Physcomitrium patens
Lineage: Eukaryota; Viridiplantae; Streptophyta; Bryopsida; Funariales; Funariaceae
Description: long non-coding RNA (PPAT_LNC001673)
Source: RNAcentral